This 1371-nucleotide long non-coding RNA is filed under the name Pongo abelii (Sumatran orangutan). RNAcentral's name for it is "lincRNA". Lineage: Eukaryota; Metazoa; Chordata; Mammalia; Primates; Hominidae. The record is from RNAcentral.
UUUUUUUUUUUUUUGACAGGAUGGGCUGGGGUUGGGGGAGGAGGAAGCAAGACUUAAGCAGAGAAGGCAAGCUCCUUUCUGUUCAUCUAACUCAAACUCUUUCCAAGUGUGAACCCAGUGGAGACCUUUUCAAACUGUAGCCAUGAAGCAGGUUGCAUGAGGCAGACCCAUCUCCUGGCAACUGUUUCCAUAGAUACAGCCCAGUUUCGGUCUGCAUCCCUUACCUAGGAAUCUUCCUGGCUAAAAAAACCCAUAAAAGUGGAAAACUCAAACUCCACAGUGCGAAUAUCUCUUGAGUCUGCCUGCACUACCCUUUCUUGAGUGUGUAUUGAUAAGACUUCAAAUGACAUUUUAAGAAAUUUAAAUUUCAACCUGAAGUCAAUAAGGACACAUCAGAAGUUUUCAAAGGAAGGAUGGAGUCUGUUGAAAGAACCGGUUGGUAAAAUGAGAAUAAAUGGAUUGAAGGAGACCCAAGUGACCACCUGGUAAUUACUUCAACAGCAGAGCGACUCAUACAGCCAGCAAUCCACUUUGUUGUGAUCUGUAGAUCCUGCCUGUGGUGUUGGAUCUAACAGCUUCUUCCCUGACCCAAGAUUAUGAAGGAUUUCUCCUGUGUUCUCUUCUAAAAAUUUUACAUUUAGGUAUAUAAUCCAUUUUGAGCUAAUUCUUUUAAAUAGUGCAAAGUAUGGAUUGAAGUUCUUUUUUUUUUUUUUGCAGAUACAUAUUUAAUUUUUCCAGCACCAUUUGUUGAAAAGACUAAUGUUCUUGCCUGAAUAGCCUUUGCAUUGUUGUUGAAAAUCAUGUUCACACAUGUACACAUUCCACUGAACUAUUUGCCUCUUUGUGAAAAUACUACUAUUUUGAUUAAUAUAGAUUUAUAGGGAGUCUUAAAAUCAUAUCUUAAAAAGAUAGUGGAAGUUAUUUAACCUUACUCUUGUUUUUAGAAAUUGUUUUGGAUAAUCUAGAUCUUUUGCGUUUCCAUAUAAAUUUUAUAAUCAGUUUGGCAAUUUAUUUAAAAUAUUCUUCUGGGAUUUUGAUGGACAUUAUGCUGAAUCGAUGGAUCGCUUUGGGGAGAACUGACAUCUUAACAAUAUUGAGUCAUCUAACAUAUGAUCAUGGAAAUUGCUCCAGUUAUUUAGAUCUUUCACAUCUUGAAGCAGUGUUUUACAGUUUUCAGUGUAUAGAUAGUUAAUAGAUUUAAAAAUAUGAUCCCUAAAUAUUCAAUGUUUUUGAUGCUAUUGGAAUUUUAAAAAAUUAAUUUCUGUUCUGAGGAAGGAAAAUAAUAAAAGAUUAAACAAGAAAAAUAAAAGAAUCAAAAUAAAAGAUAAAUCAUUGACAAAUAUAAAAAAAUAACAAAAAUAAAAUACAAAA